CAAAGACAUAUACAAAA
RNAcentral lists this small RNA (17 nucleotides) under Arabidopsis thaliana (thale cress). RNAcentral describes it as "ATSL063530". The record is from RNAcentral. Lineage: Eukaryota; Viridiplantae; Streptophyta; Magnoliopsida; Brassicales; Brassicaceae.